This 2197-nucleotide long non-coding RNA is filed under the name Solanum lycopersicum (tomato). RNAcentral's name for it is "long non-coding RNA (SLYC_LNC000006)". The record is from RNAcentral. Lineage: Eukaryota; Viridiplantae; Streptophyta; Magnoliopsida; Solanales; Solanaceae.
UCGAUUAUACGGUAUGUAGCGCUAUCCCUUCUUUCUUUGCUUGGCAUGACUUUUAAAAAUAAGCGAAUAACGGACAGAUUUGAUACUUACCUCUAAAGCGUCUAGGUGAUGUAUAUUCUUGCUUCCACAAUUAUUCCUCUAUAUAUCGGCUAUGUCUAAGGCUAUGAUGAUCUCUAAUAUCUAUGGUAAUGCUUCUUAGAGUCAUUGAGAUUUUACGUUUCCAUAUCGUAUUAAAGGUUCAUAAUCUUGAUAAAACAUUAAUCUUUGGUAAUACUCCUUGCUGGUUCACGUUCAUUGUUCUAUCGAGUUAUAAGAAAUGAUUUUAAUUGCAUAUGGUUGCUCAUAAUAUUCUGCUCGUGCAUAGAGUCAUUUAUCAUUUCACCGAGUCCCGGGCCGGGUAAUGUUAGUGCGGAGUUUCUUGCAUAUGUCACCGACUUCCUCACUAGAGGGUCGGGUAUGUAUAUUAUAUAUAUGAUUGGUGAUGAGGAUGGUUAUGAUGAUGAUGAUGAUGGAGAUGACGUGAUGAUUAUUUUGCCGAGCCCCUCACUAGGGAAGCUGGGCACCUUAAAUGUUAAAUAUAUGCAUGAUUUUCACUUAAAAAGUAUAUGUGUAGCGAUAUUUUGUUUCGACUUGCCACAUUGGUAUCCUUUCAUCUUUACCUUAUGCGUUACAUACUCAGUACAUUGUCCGUACUGACCCCCCUUUCCUCGGGAGGCUGCGUUUCAUGCCCGCAGGUGUAGACGCGCAGUUCGGUGAUCCUCCCGCCUAGGAUAUCUACUCUGCUGAUUGGGAGAGCUCCACUGUUCCGGAGCCCAGUCGUUUUGGUACAUAACUUUUGUGUAGUCUUUUGCUCGUCUAUGGGUAUAGCGGGGCCCUGUCCCGUCGAGUUUCACUAAUGUACUCUUAGAGGUCUGUGGACAUUAUGUGGGUUGUAUAUAUAUAUGUUUUGGAUAAUGGUCUGGACAUGGUUUGUUUGGGAUGUCCGCUUGUACAGGGGCAGCCUUGUCGGCUGCGUACAUCAUUAUGCUUUGAAUAGUGGCGGCCUUGUCGGCUCGCGUAUGCUGUUAUGGUUGAAUGGUUAUGACUCUUUAUGAGACAGGUCCUCUUAUAUAUAUAUGACGUUGGGGUUGGCUUGAUUUGAUUAAAUUCCAUAUUGUCUUAGUUUCAGUUGGUCAUACUUAGCAGGUUUGUAUGUGGGUGUCCAAAACGGGCACUAAUCACGGCCUAUCGGGUUGGGUCGUGACAUUCUUAGAGUCAUUGAGAUUUUAUGUUUCCAUAUCGUAUUAAAGGUUCAUAAUCUUGAUAAAACAUUAAUCUUUGGUAAUACUCCUUGCUGGUUCACGUUGAUUGUUCUAUUGAGUUAUAAGAAAUGAUUUUAAUUGCAUAUGGUUGCUCAUAAUAUUCUGCUCAUGCAUAGAGUCAUUUAUCAUUUCACCGAGUCCCGGGCCGGGUAAUGUUCGUGCGAAGUUUCUUGCAUAUGUCACCGAGUUCCUCACUAGAGGGCCAGGUAUGUAUAUCAUAUAUAUGAUUGGUGAUGAGGAUGGUUAUGAUGAUGAUGAUGACGGAGAUGACGUGAUGAUUAUUUUGCCGAGCCCCUUUCUAGGGAAGCUGGGCACCAUUGUUGAAGAUAUGCAUGAUUUUCACUUAAAAGGGUAUAUGUGUAGCGAUAUUUUGUUUCGACUUGCCAUAUUGGUAUCCUGUCAUCUUUACCUUAUGCAUUACAUACUCAGUACAUUGUCCGUACUGACCCCCCUGUGCUCGGGGGGCUGCGUUUCAUGCCCGCAGGUGUAGAUGCAAAGUUCGAUGAUCCUCCCACCUAGGAUAUCUACUCUGCUGAUUGGGAGAGCUCCACUAUUGCGGAGCCCAGUUGUUUUGGUACAUAACUUUUUGUGUAGUCUUUUGCUCGUCUAUGGGUAUGGCGGGGUCCUGUCCCGUCGAGUUUCACUAAUGUACUCUUAUAGGUCUGUGGACAUUAUGUGGGUUGUAUAUAUAUGUUUUGGAUAAUGGUCUGGACAUGGUUUGUUUGGGAUGUCCGCUUGUACAGGGGCAGCCUUGUCGGCUGCGUACAUCAUUGUGUAUUGUGUAGUGGCAGCCUUGUCGGCUUACGUAUGUUAUUAUGCUUUGAAUAGUGGCGGCCUUGUCGGCUCGCGUAUGUUGUUACGCUUGAAUGGUUAUGAAUCCUUAUGAGACAGGUCCU